CAAGUCGCAACCAGUCACAUUCAACAAAAAAUUGUUCACAAACAAUCACAACAAACAUAUAACCACUACUAUCACAGUCUGUGCCUGCUCCACCGCAAUUACAGCCACCAUCGCCAUAAACAAACAGCCUGCACUACCAUCAUCAUCUGCAUACAAACAACAAAAUUUACCCAAAAUUUUCUGGCACCAAAUUGUGACCCAAUUUCCCUAAAUUGCGACCAACAAAACUCACACCACCAACAAAACUCCGGCACUAGGCUGCGAUAAAAUUUUGACAGAUCUCCCAUCGUUCGUCACUGCAGUAGCAGAGCUCACAUCACUUGCAAAACCAUACUCCAAUAGCCACCCCUUUCAUCAACAACCGCAUUUGUCACCAGUAGCCAUUCCCACCACUAUCGACUCCUCACCGACACCAAAGCAGCAACCGUACACUGCAUUCUGAUUGGCGAUGCUGCAGUGCCCAACUCUCCUUGUGCUACUGAGCCACUGCGGAACAGCACUCCCACUAUUAUUGGCGGUGCCUUGAGAUAACUCACCCGCCUGUGGCCAAAGCAGUGCUGAAAACUAAGAAAGAGGGAGAAAUAAAGGUUUGGUGAUUAUAGUUUUUCAACAGUUGUGACAAAGAGAUGAGAGAAUGAAGUUAGAUGAGAGAAAAGAGAAAAG
RNAcentral lists this long non-coding RNA (663 nucleotides) under Olea europaea subsp. europaea. Lineage: Eukaryota; Viridiplantae; Streptophyta; Magnoliopsida; Lamiales; Oleaceae. The record is from RNAcentral.